This 457-nucleotide ribosomal RNA is filed under the name Escherichia coli. RNAcentral describes it as "bacterial SSU rRNA". It matches the Rfam family "Bacterial small subunit ribosomal RNA", at positions 1 to 454 of the family's 1533-position model. Lineage: Bacteria; Pseudomonadati; Pseudomonadota; Gammaproteobacteria; Enterobacterales; Enterobacteriaceae. The record is from RNAcentral.
AAAUUGAAGAGUUUGAUCAUGGCUCAGAUUGAACGCUGGCGGCAGGCCUAACACAUGCAAGUCGAACGGUAACAGAAAGCAGCUUGCUGCUUUGCUGACGAGUGGCGGACGGGUGAGUAAUGUCUGGGAAACUGCCUGAUGGAGGGGGAUAACUACUGGAAACGGUAGCUAAUACCGCAUAACGUCGCAAGACCAAAGAGGGGGACCUUCGGGCCUCUUGCCAUCGGAUGUGCCCAGAUGGGAUUAGCUUGUUGGUGGGGUAACGGCUCACCAAGGCGACGAUCCCUAGCUGGUCUGAGAGGAUGACCAGCCACACUGGAACUGAGACACGGUCCAGACUCCUACGGGAGGCAGCAGUGGGGAAUAUUGCACAAUGGGCGCAAGCCUGAUGCAGCCAUGCCGCGUGUAUGAAGAAGGCCUUCGGGUUGUAAAGUACUUUCAGCGGGGAGGAAGGGAG